Non-coding RNA from Oryza sativa Japonica Group (Japanese rice), 1469 nucleotides. Lineage: Eukaryota; Viridiplantae; Streptophyta; Magnoliopsida; Poales; Poaceae. The record is from RefSeq and is a predicted model, not a curated record.
CCAAUUUUAUAAGAGUAGAGUGGCAUCCGACUGAUUUGACGAAUAGAAAUAUUAUUUUUCUAAAUAAGUGAAUUUGUAAUGGCAUGUGUCUAAUUAACCCUAAAAAGAAAUAAGCCAAUCUUGAGAUAUAUUUUAAUGUUUAAAUAACUACCAAUGAUUAUGUUGGGGUUUUUUUUAGAAAAUACAAAAAAUUAUCAAAUUAUGAUUUCCCUAUUUUAGAAUUUUUGUGUUGAAAUGUUUUUAUAUGCCAUGCUCAUGAGCUAAUCAUGUUAUUAUCGGAGAUGGAUAUCUGGUAUCUACCUCAACUUCACAUAUCACAAGUACAAUGGACCAUAAUCUCUUCAAGAUCCAGCUUAUCCAAGUCCUAAUCCUUCUUGUAUCAUUGCUGCUGUCUACUUGCCUUCCAUGAAUGAUCCUUUGUUGCUGUGAACGAGCUAGAUAGCUACAUACCAUCUUUCUGUAAUGAAAACCGAGAGUAGUUUACGGAUCAGAACAAGGAGAAGUGUAUGGAUUAAGGGUCGCUGAAGCAGCAUCAAGCAGAGAAAUCGGUAUCAGGUAACAUAAUGACACUGAUGACAGAUGAGCUGAAUGAAGUUCAUGUUGCUACUAAACGAAUAAUGAGAAGGCAUGGAACACCAUGAUGUUGUGUACAGUUUGAUGAGAGCUAUGUGAAAAUUAGCCUAGUUCAGUUGAUUGAUUGAUCAUUUGAUGCGCCUGGCUAAUUAACAUUCAGAAAGUUGGACUGAACUGAACUCUGAACAAGCUGGCUGACUUCAGCCAUGCAUGCAUUUCUUGGCAAAUUUUCUCUGCAAUUUAUCCCCGUUAUGUGAGCUGUAAUUAGAUCAUGGCCAGAGACCGGACAAUGAUAACAGAUAGCUCAUCUUUCUCUGAAGAACCAGCAGCAGAUUGGAUCUCCUUAUCAGACUGUCUUUCAGAAUUGGUUAGCCUUGCAGAUGUACUAAAUGACUUGCUGGGACAUGUUGAAUUGUUUAUGAGCAGCAUAUUUAUAUGCAUGAUUGCAUUGCAUCAGAGACCUCACAUCACUUGGUAGUUGGUACCUUUAAUUUGGUUGGAAUGACAUUUCUGUCCCAGUAAAAUAUGAUUAACAAGAACAGUCUGAAAGUUUUUUCUUCACCUUUUUGAGAACUCUGCAAGAGGAAUUAUUCAGGAUGACAGACUGACAGUAGGACACUGCUUGAUCGCUUUCAGAUGCUAUAUGCUCCUAUCUUGAGACUGAAGAUAAGUGGGAGAAAAACAGCGUAUUUUCUUGGAUUAAUAACUUAAUUCCAUUACCUACCACUUAAUGUCUAGUGUUGAGUGGAACUAAAGUAUGGUCCUUAGCUGCAUCUUUCGGUUCCUGUGGCUUUACUUACAAGGCAUGACUCUGGUUUGUUCCAAACCUGUGGCUUACUCUUUUCACAAGUCAAAAUGUUUUUCCCCCUGUAAGAUGUAUGUUUUGCCUUCUUACA